CCUACGGGAGGCAGCAGUGAGGAAUAUUGGUCAAUGGGCUUACGCCUGAACCAGCCAAGUCGCGUGAGGGAAGACUGCCCUAUGGGUUGUAAACCUCUUUUGUCAGGGAGCAACGCCGGCUACGUGUAGCCGGACUGAGAGUACCUGAAGAAAAAGCAUCGGCUAACUCCGUGCCAGCAGCCGCGGUAAUACGGAGGAUGCGAGCGUUAUCCGGAUUUAUUGGGUUUAAAGGGUGCGUAGGCGGGGAUGCAAGCCAGGGGUGAAAGCCCGGGGCCCAACCCCGGGACUGCGUGUGGAACUGGGUGGCUGGAGUGCAGGAGGGGCAGGCGGAAUGCCUGGUGUAGCGGUGAAAUGCGUAGAUAUCAGGAGGAACACCGGUGGCGAAGGCGGCCUGCUGGACUGCAACUGACGUUGAGGCUCGAAAGCGUGGGGAGCGAACAGGAUUAGAUACCCGUGUAGUC
Molecule: ribosomal RNA, 461 nt
Filed under: uncultured bacterium
Lineage: Bacteria
Description: partial 16S ribosomal RNA
Rfam family: Bacterial small subunit ribosomal RNA
Source: RNAcentral